Molecule: ribosomal RNA, 253 nt
Filed under: uncultured bacterium
Lineage: Bacteria
Description: partial 16S ribosomal RNA
Rfam family: Bacterial small subunit ribosomal RNA
Source: RNAcentral
UACGUAGGGUGCAAGCGUUGUCCGGAAUUAUUGGGCGUAAAGAGCUCGUAGGCGGUCUGUCGCGUCUGCUGUGAAAAUCCAGGGCUCAACCCUGGACCUGCAGUGGGUACGGGCAGACUAGAGUGCGGUAGGGGAGAUCGGAAUUCCUGGUGUAGCGGUGAAAUGCGCAGAUAUCAGGAGGAACACCGGUGGCGAAGGCGGUGAUCUGGGCCGACACUGACGCUGUAGAGCGAAAGCGUGGGGAGCAAACAGG